AUGACCGACGCGGGUCAAAGUGUAGUAUCCGUUCUUGUCAGCUUAAUAUCUGAUACGGGUUGUUUUCGGACCCAAGAUAUUAAAACUUAUUUUUGCAAGCUGGAUGGAGUGCUUGAAGCCUGCUUCACCUCAGCCGUGGGUCGGCCCGGUAUUCGACUAUCUUCGGGAUCGGCCCACGGCUU
This is a small nuclear RNA of Dermacentor silvarum, 182 nucleotides long. RefSeq annotates it as U2 spliceosomal RNA. Lineage: Eukaryota; Metazoa; Arthropoda; Arachnida; Ixodida; Ixodidae. The record is from RefSeq and is a predicted model, not a curated record. The transcript has a single exon.